GCUGAGAGGUGGUGCAUGGCCGUCGUCAGUUCGUACUGUGAAGCAUCCUGUUAAGUCAGGCAACGAGCGAGACCCACGCCCACAGUUGCCAGCGUACUCUCUGGAGUGACGGGUACACUGUGGGGACCGCCGCUGCUAAAGCGGAGGAAGGAAUGGGCAACGGUAGGUCAGUAUGCCCCGAAUAUCCCGGGCUACACGCGAGCUACAAUGGUUGGUACAAUGGGUAUCUACCCGAAAGGGGACGGGAAUCUCCUAAAACCAAUCUUAGUUCGGAUUGAGGGCUGCAACUCGCCCUCAUGAAGCUGGAAUCCGUAGUAAUCGCGUUUCAACAGAACGCGGUGAAUACGUCCCUGCUCCUU
This 359-nucleotide ribosomal RNA is filed under the name uncultured Methanosaeta sp. Its description in RNAcentral is "bacterial SSU rRNA". It matches the Rfam family "Archaeal small subunit ribosomal RNA", at positions 979 to 1338 of the family's 1478-position model. The record is from RNAcentral. Lineage: Archaea; Methanobacteriati; Methanobacteriota; Methanomicrobia; Methanotrichales; Methanotrichaceae.